GCCGCUUGCCCGGCUAGCUCAAUCGGUAGAGCGUGAGACUCUUAAUCUCAAGGUUGUGGGUUCGACCCGUAAGCGCCU
This 78-nucleotide transfer RNA is filed under the name Colletotrichum tofieldiae. RNAcentral describes it as "tRNA-Lys". The stretch from base 12 to 78 matches the Rfam family "tRNA". From Rfam's summary of the family: Transfer RNA (tRNA) molecules are approximately 80 nucleotides in length. Their secondary structure includes four short double-helical elements and three loops (D, anti-codon, and T loops). The record is from RNAcentral. Lineage: Eukaryota; Fungi; Ascomycota; Sordariomycetes; Glomerellales; Glomerellaceae.